AUGCAGCUGAUGAGUCCGGAAUAGGAUAAAACGCACGUCCUGGAU
Schistosoma rodhaini is the source of this 45-nucleotide non-coding RNA. The record is from Rfam. NCBI's taxonomy places the organism in Eukaryota, Metazoa, Platyhelminthes, Trematoda, Strigeidida, Schistosomatidae.